GAUGAACGCUAGCGGUAGGCUUAACACAUGCAAGUCGAGGGGCAGCGAGCGAGAUAGCAAUAUCUUGUGUCGGCGACCGGCGCACUGGUGAGUAACACGUAUGCAACCUGCCCUCUACAGGGGGAUAAUCCGGAGAAAUUCGGUCUAAUAUCCCAUAGUCCCUGAGUUUGCAUGAGCUUAGGGGGAAAGUUCCGGCGGUAGAGGAUGGGCAUGCGGCGCAUUAGCUGGUUGGCGGGGUAACGGCCCACCAAGGCGACGAUGCGUAGGGGUUCUGAGAGGAAGGUCCCCCACACUGGUACUGAGACACGGACCAGACUCCUACGGGAGGCAGCAGUGAGGAAUAUUGGUCAAUGGGCGCGAGCCUGAACCAGCCAAGUCGCGUGAGGGAUGACGGUCCUACGGAUUGUAAACCUCUUUAGGCGGGGAGUAAUGUGCUCUACGAGUAGAGUAGUGAGAGUACCCGCAGAAUAAGCAUCGGCUAACUCCGUGCCAGCAGCCGCGGUAAUACGGAGGAUGCGAGCGUUAUCCGGAUUUAUUGGGUUUAAAGGGUGCGCAGGCUGUGCAUCAAGUCAGCGGUAAAAUCUCGGGGCUCAACCCCGUUUAGCCGUUGAAACUGGUGUGCUGGAGUGUGUGCGAGGAAGGCGGAAUGCGCGGUGUAGCGGUGAAAUGCAUAGAUAUUGCGCAGAACUCCGAUUGCGAAGGCAGCCUUCCAGUGCAUGACUGACGCUGAGGCACGAAAGCGUGGGUAUCGAACAGG
RNAcentral lists this ribosomal RNA (757 nucleotides) under uncultured Bacteroidales bacterium. RNAcentral describes it as "bacterial SSU rRNA". It matches the Rfam family "Bacterial small subunit ribosomal RNA", at positions 28 to 776 of the family's 1533-position model. The record is from RNAcentral. Lineage: Bacteria; Pseudomonadati; Bacteroidota; Bacteroidia; Bacteroidales.